RNAcentral lists this ribosomal RNA (305 nucleotides) under uncultured bacterium. Its description in RNAcentral is "bacterial SSU rRNA". It matches the Rfam family "Bacterial small subunit ribosomal RNA", at positions 337 to 634 of the family's 1533-position model. The record is from RNAcentral.
CACUACGGGACGCAGCGGUAGGGAAUCUUCCACAAUGGGCGAAAGCCUGAUGGAGCAACGCCGCGUGGGUGAAGAAGGUCUUCGGAUCGUAAAACCCUGUUGUUAGAGAAGAAAGUGCGUGAGAGUAACUGUUCACGAUUCGACGGUAUCUAACCAGAAAGCCACGGCUAACUACGUGCCAGCAGCCGCGGUAAUACGUAGGUGGCAAGCGUUAUCCGGAUUUAUUGGGCGUAAAGGGAACGAAGGUGGUCUGUUAAGUCUGAUGUGAAAGCAUUCGGCUUAACCGGAGUAGUGCAUUGGAAACA